This 222-nucleotide long non-coding RNA is filed under the name Musa acuminata (dwarf banana). RNAcentral's name for it is "long non-coding RNA (MACU_LNC009988)". Lineage: Eukaryota; Viridiplantae; Streptophyta; Magnoliopsida; Zingiberales; Musaceae. The record is from RNAcentral.
UCCCGCUUCAAGUCCUCCCAUGUGUCGACUCGACACCGACCUUAUUGGAUCUCCUCCCAACGAGUUCGCCACCAAAGUUUCGCAUCUCCGUUCAGAUACAUUGUUGCUAUAGAAACUUUGGUAUCUUCAGAAUCAGGCCUCGUAGCUCGAAAGUAUUGUUCCAUGUCGAACAGAAAGUUCUCGAGCUCUUUGGCAUCUUUGGCCCCUCCAUAUCCAUGAGGC